GCGGACGUGGCUCAGCUGGUAGAGCAUCACCUUGCCAAGGUGAGGGUCGCCGGGUCGAAUCCGGUCGUCCGCUCCA
RNAcentral lists this transfer RNA (76 nucleotides) under Acidimicrobiales bacterium. RNAcentral's name for it is "tRNA-Gly". It matches the Rfam family "tRNA". From Rfam's summary of the family: Transfer RNA (tRNA) molecules are approximately 80 nucleotides in length. Their secondary structure includes four short double-helical elements and three loops (D, anti-codon, and T loops). Further hydrogen bonds mediate the characteristic L-shaped molecular structure. tRNAs have two regions of fundamental functional importance: the anti-codon, which is responsible for specific mRNA codon recognition, and the 3' end, to which the tRNAs corresponding amino acid is attached (by aminoacyl-tRNA synthetases). tRNAs cope with the degeneracy of the genetic code in two manners: having more than one tRNA (with a specific anti-codon) for a particular amino acid; and 'wobble' base-pairing, i.e. permitting non-standard base-pairing at the 3rd anti-codon position. The record is from RNAcentral. Lineage: Bacteria; Bacillati; Actinomycetota; Acidimicrobiia; Acidimicrobiales. RNAcentral also lists the same sequence under 1 other name.